This is a long non-coding RNA of Acinonyx jubatus (cheetah), 1114 nucleotides long. RefSeq lists it as uncharacterized. The record is from RefSeq and is a predicted model, not a curated record. The transcript has 3 exons. NCBI's taxonomy places the organism in Eukaryota, Metazoa, Chordata, Mammalia, Carnivora, Felidae.
CAUCACCUGAGUCGAAGUCGGCCGCCCAACUGACUGAGCCACCCGGGAGCCCCAAAUGAACAUUCUUUAUAGUAAGGAUAUUUAUUACAGCUUCAUUUAUAAGCAACAUAUUAGAAAAUCUAAAUUUCCUUUAAAAAAAGGAUUAAAGAAGUAAUGGUACUUCUAACUGUGAAAUAUGGUGCCGCCAACAUUUAAAAAAAAUAACUAUCUAUGAUAGGAAAAGACAUACAUACCCAAGAUAGAUCAUUAAAUGAAAAAAAGAAAUGCAGAUUAUGUAAAGUACGCUAUCAUUUGUGUGAGGAAAAAUAAUGCAUAAACUUACAUGUUUAUAAAAAUGCUCGAAAUAUCUCUCGAAGGAUACUCAAGAAAUUGAUAACAAUGGGGCCCUGUCCAGCUAGGAAACUGAGAAGGAUGCUUAUUUUUCACUGUAUGCCCUUUUUUACUUUUUAAAUUUUAUACCAUGUGGAUGUAAUGCCUGUUCAAAACAUAAAGUUGCUUUAAAAUUUUUUCUUUAAAGAAAGAAAACUCCUAACUGAUGGAGUAGGCACACAGGAAUAUUUAUAACUGUCACACGCACCCGCAUGCAGAAAGUCUGGAAUGAUACUCGGACUGCCAACAGCGGUUACCCCAAGGAGAGGAGUUGGAGCGCGCAUGCGGGCAGCCAGGAACAAUUUCCCAACUGAAAGGUCACUCCAUGCUGACAUUUACUGCAAGGCAACGUUCUAAACUUUACAAGUAUCAAGUCAUUUUACCCUUGCCCAAGAUGCUGAGGAAGAUCAGCUCCAUCACCCUAAAUCAACAGGAAUGCACAUACUUUCAGAACCAGCCAUUCCGCUUUUAGGACCGUAUCCCACGGAAAUACCUGAACAAGUUGCUGACGGCAGGCUGCGUGCCUAUAAGAGUCACAGGCCAUGGACUUCUAUGCACCUGUCAAGAGGAGUAAAGUCGUGACCUCACGGUUCAUGGGUUGGUACCCCAUGUCAGGCUUUGCAAUGACAGCGUGGAGUCUGCUUGGGAUUUGCUCUCUCUUUCUCUCUCUCUCUGCCCCUCCCUCUCUCAAAAUAAAUAAAUAAACUUAAAAACUGAUACGUAUUUUUUAAAAAAAGAAUAUUUC